Molecule: RNA transcript, 3178 nt
Organism: Centropristis striata (black sea bass)
Lineage: Eukaryota; Metazoa; Chordata; Actinopteri; Perciformes; Serranidae
Gene: rft1
Gene name: RFT1 homolog
Exons: 11
Source: RefSeq, a predicted model, not a curated record
UGUUACUGUGCUACUAGUGCUUCUAGCUUCAACAACUGUUUAAGAAGUGUAAUCUCAUGCUUAUUCAAUAGCAAAUAGGAGCUUUUGGUAUCGGGUUUCAGGCAGCCACCCUGACUGUGUUACAUUAUGCCUCUAUGAUGGUUUUCCUUUAUAAAAAGCAGCUGAAAAGUUGCCAAAUUCACGCUUAAGAUUGAAGAUUUGCAGUGAGUCAGAGGAAGUCCACAAUGAGUUCUCAGGACGUACUGAAGAAGGCGUCCACUCUGGCGUCCUAUAAUGUGUUGCUACAGGUGAUGUUCCGUGUCCUCACCUUCCUGCUGAACGCAUUCACACUGCGGUUUGUGUCCAAAGAGCUGAUCGGUGUUGUCAACGUCAGACUUACACUUCUGUACUCCACAUUAGUAUUUUUAUCCAGAGAAGCUUUCCGUAGAGCCUGUCUGAGCGGAGUAUCUGGAACGAACCACAGCUGGAGACAAGUUAUCAACCUGCUAUGGCUGACCUUGCCUCUGGGUGUGUUGUGGGCAGCCCUGCUGGCCUCUGUGUGGCUGUGGCUCCUGGAGGUCCCAGACCCGCAGACUGUCCCUUACUACGGCCCUGCUGUGGUUUUGUUUGCUCUGUCAGGAGUCCAGGAGCUCCUGGCUGAGCCCCUCUGGGUCCUGGCUCAGGCUCACAUGUUUGUCCGACUAAAGGUGGUCGCAGAGAGCUUAGCGAUGAUCGCAAAGUGCAGUAUAACCGUGGUGCUGGUGGUGUUUGCCCGUGGAUGGGGCCUUUACAUCUUCUCUGCUGCUCAUUUGGUGUACACAGGAUUCCUGGUGCUGUGCUAUGCUGUUUACUUCAUUCAUUUCUUGGGCUCUAAAGAGGCAGACAAGAAGGGUUUUCCUCUGCAUCGUGUUGGAGAUCUCCUGCCCUGUAGAGCUGAUGGAGAGCCUCUGGUUGAUUGGACUCUGGCCCGGCUCACAUGGAGCUUCUUCAAGCAGUCCUUCCUGAAGCAGCUGCUGACGGAAGGCGAGCGCUACGUCAUGACCUUCCUGAACGUCCUCAGCUUUGGAGACCAGGGAGUUUAUGAUAUCGUCAAUAAUCUGGGCUCCAUGGUGGCUCGCUUCAUCUUCUUACCCAUCGAGGAGAGCUUCUACAUCUUCUUUGCCAAAGUGCUGGUGCGAGGACGUGAUGUUGAAAGUCAGAAACAGGAAGACGUUGCCAUUGCAGCAGAGGUGCUGGAGUGUCUGCUGAAACUGGUGCUUGUGGUUGGGCUCAUUAUCUCAGUGUUUGGCUACGCCUUCUCUCACUUGGCUCUGGACAUUUAUGGCGGCUCUCUACUGAGCAGUGGAGCAGGGCCCACUUUGCUGCGAUGCUACAGCUGCUAUGUUCUCCUGCUUGCUGUAAAUGGUGUAACAGAGUGCUUUGUAUUUGCUGCCAUGAGCCAAAAAGAAGUUGACAAGUAUAACUUGGUGAUGCUGGCUCUGUCUGUGUCCUUCCUGUUCCUGUCCUACAUGCUGACAUGGUGGGCUGGUGGUGUGGGAUUCAUACUAGCAAACUGCCUCAACAUGGGCCUCCGCAUCCUGCACAGCCUGCUGUACAUACACCGAUACUUCCAGUCCAGUCAGUGGAAACCUCUGCGAGGCCUGCUGCCCUCUCCGCUCCUACUGCUGGCACUGGCUGUCAGUGCUGUCAUCACAGCGCUUUCUGAGGGAGUGUUCUGCUGUGACAGCGGCUGGUUCCUCAGGCUGGUACAUAUCGGCGUAGGAGCAGUGUGUCUGCUCGGUGUGUUUGCGGCGGUUCUUCUCACAGAGACUGGGCUCAUUCAGUUCGUGAGGACUCAGCUCUUACCCCAGUACAGAAAGAAACACACUUGAAUCAGACUGGAUCAUUGGUGAACUGGAAGAAAUCUUCUGUUUCACUACAAACAGUUCUAACAAAGCAGCUGAUUGACAGUUACUGACUGUGUGGAAUCGACGAAGGAAGAACUUUAAAGAAUGUGUGAUCAUUCCUGAGUUGCUCAUACACGUAUGAACAGACACAUCAUUAAUGUUUUGGGAUCUAAUUGUGGCAGAUAAAGAAAUGAAUGUAUUUUAUGAAAACAGUUGAAUUUGUUACAGGAAAAUAUUUUCCUACACAGUAAAGCAAGACAAGCUCAUCCAUAUGUGUGGUGUCUAAAGGUAAUUUAAUGAAAAAAUAAGAUUUUUUUUACACUUUAAGCAGUUUAAAUAAUCUGUCAUGUGUUUCUAAAGGUUUCUUAACGCCCUGUUGUCUUUUCAACAUUUUGGAGCAUUCAAGUUGUUUUUAAUAUUUUAAGGUCCAUUACACACACGGUAUUGACAAAGUAAAGAGGCAGAGAGGAAUUCUGUUUUGUCCACUACAAACAAAGCAUGAAGACACCUCCCUGUGUGGAAUGCCUUUUAAGUCAAUAUGAAAUAAAUUAAUAAAUACAUUUAAAUAACAAUGCCUAUGAAAAAAAGAAUUGGCGAUAAAAUUAAAUAAAUAUUGAAGAUGUCCUUUUAAAAAUAUUUUAUUUAAAAUGUUAAUUUAUUUUUAUUCCUUUUACUAUAUUGACUCAUUCAUGUUUAUUCAUAUAUUAAUAUAUUGCUGAAUUUAAUUCAGAAUGUAUUUCAAUAUACCUCUACUUAAAAAUGUUCAGUAGUGGGUGACUCAUUGCUACAAAUAUCUAUAGAGAGAAAGACACUUUCUAGAGCAGUGGUUUGCACCAGCUUUUUGUCAUAUUUCAUAUUUCACUGGGAGCUGAGUAGCUUUCAGUUCAGCUCUUAUUUGACCUGUUGCUUGGAAACUUUCUUGCUAUUUGUUUAUCCUUCGUCUGAACUGGAUUUAGGGUCCCUGAAGGUCCAAUAAUGAUGUAAUUAAAGAAAAUGAGCAGGAAGAGGUGGGGACAGCAUUCUUUUAAAGCAAGGCAAUGCUUUUUUCUUCUCCACUUUGCUCCUUUUUUUUUUUACAUAUAUUUGUACACAAGUCAAACACGGUAUAAAGUUUGCUGGUGUCUGAAGACAAUCAGCUACUUCUCUUCUGAGUCAUACCUUUUGAACUUUGAGUCCAAUUUGCUUUGCUCGCUAAUUAUCACCAGCGGCAGGAUAAACAGACAUGCAUUUGUCAUGUUCUUGCAUCUUUGGGAUUUAUUUGGGGAAAUGUAAUGCCACAAGUUGCAGCAGUGAUCUCAUCAUUUCCUAAUGAA